Brassica oleracea var. oleracea is the source of this 1119-nucleotide RNA transcript. It is a transcript of the gene named acyltransferase-like protein At3g26840, chloroplastic, with no coding region annotated. The record is from RefSeq and is a predicted model, not a curated record. NCBI's taxonomy places the organism in Eukaryota, Viridiplantae, Streptophyta, Magnoliopsida, Brassicales, Brassicaceae. The transcript has 5 exons.
AUCAAUAUUUUUAUUGUUUAGAACUUGAAAUUAUAGUUUCUUGGAUGAAUAUUAACAAAAGAAAAACUUGUUGGUGUGUAGACUACACAGUGUAGUUGAAUAAUGAUAAAGCUUUUGUCGUAUGUGAAAAUUUACAUUCUAAUCAAGCAAACAUCACAGUAGAAAAUGGGUUUGAGGUUGACUAGCAAACAAGUUUAACUGUUUAUGUGUGAGUUCUGUAGUUUGUAUAUGUGCUGUAUGCUUUGUAUAUCGUUUACUUGUAGGAGUCUAAGAAUGACUGAAGAAAGUGAUGCAUGUAGAAGAAGCUAAAGAGAUGGCUGUUGAAGAAGCUAAGGGGUUGAAUCAGGUCGUUGAAGAUGCUAAAAUGUGUACACAGUUAAAACCCAAACACUUAUACUUCUCAGUGGACGUGAUCAAAGAAGACACUGAAAGACUCCGUUGUGCAUUGCCAAAAUGUGAAGUCCUUGAGUUUGUGAAUAAUGGACAGUUCCUCUUCUUGGUAAGGAGGAUGGGGUAGAUCUGGCGACUAUUCUUAAGAUUGCAUAUUAUUAUCGACGUGGGAAGAAACUUGAUUACAUUUAUGAUUACACUCUGCCUACUCCUUUUGAGCUCAAAGAGUUUGAACAAUCACAAAGUGACUCAGAUUGCUAACCGCUGUUGUUCUCGUCUUUCUCUCAACUCUAGUCAACGGUACAAUAGAAAGAACACUUGGAGGAAUACCUUUAACGGGACCGGUUCUGUCUGUUGGCAAUCACAUAUUCCUUGAUCUUGAACUGCGUCCAGCAGCAAUUCAUUUCUUGAAAAAGAGGAACAUUAUCUUCUGUGGCCUGGCACAUCCUCUGAUGUUUGCCAAAAAGAUAGGCUCAAAGCUCCCUGAUAUGCAGAUGUUCCUCACAGUUAGGAUAAUAGGCGCAGUUCCUGUCUCGAAUAUGAAUUUCUACAAGCUGCUUCGUUCAAAGGCUCAUGGGGUGUUGUAUCCUGAAGAUGUCUGUGCAGCUUUGCACAGAAAAGUAGUUAACAGUUUUUGUUUUCUCCAUGUAUGGCUUUGACACAUUUUCUGUAGAUCAUUUGUAAAGGAUAAUAAAUCAUUUACAGGACUUUAUAAAUAUCUGUUAAUCA